This 505-nucleotide ribosomal RNA is filed under the name uncultured bacterium. RNAcentral describes it as "partial 16S ribosomal RNA". It matches the Rfam family "Bacterial small subunit ribosomal RNA", at positions 28 to 522 of the family's 1533-position model. The record is from RNAcentral.
GAUGAACGCUAGCUACAGGCUUAACACAUGCAAGUCGAGGGGUAACGAGAGGAAAGCUUGCUUUCCUUGUCGACGACCGGCGCACGGGUGAGUAACGCGUAUCCAACCUGCCCCCAACUAAGGAAUAACCUUGCGAAAGUAAGACUAAUACCUUAUAAUUUCCUCAGAUGACAUCUGACGAGGAAUAAAGAUUUAUCGGUUGUGGAUGGGGAGGCGUCGGAUUAGCUGGUUGGCGGGGUAACGGCGCACCAAGGAAACGAUCAGUUUGGGUUCUGAGAGGAAGGUACCCCACAUUGGAACUGAGACACGGUCCAAACUCCUACGGGAGGCAGCAGUGAGGAAUAUUGGUCAAUGGGCGGAAGCCUGAACCAGCCAAGUAGCGUGCAGGAUGACGGCCCUAUGGGUUGUAAACUGCUUUUAUACAGGAAUAAAGUUAGCCACGUGUGGUUAUUUGUAGGUACUGUAUGAAUAAGGACCGGCUAAUUCCGUGCCAGCCGCCGCGUAA